RNAcentral lists this ribosomal RNA (1943 nucleotides) under human gut metagenome. RNAcentral describes it as "bacterial LSU rRNA". It matches the Rfam family "Bacterial large subunit ribosomal RNA", at positions 3 to 1991 of the family's 2925-position model. The record is from RNAcentral.
UUAAGCUACAAAGGGCGUAGGGUGAAUGCCUUGGCAUCAAGAGCCGAUGAAGGACGUGAUAAGCUGCGAUAAGCUAUGGGUAGGAGCAAAUAUCCACUAAUCCAUAGAUCUCCGAAUGAGGAAACUCAACUAGUAACAAUAUACUAGUUAUCCAUACAUGAGUAAAGUAGUGUAUGAGAAGGGAACGUGGGGAACUGAAACAUCUUAGUACCCACAGGAAAAGAAAGAAAUUAUUCGAUUCCUAGAGUAGUGGCGAGCGAAAUAGGAAGAGCCCAAACUGUAAGUAGUAAUACAUACAGGGUUCGGACUGCAUAAUCGAUUUAAUGAGUUUAGUAGAAGUGUUUUGGAAAAGCACACCAUAGAUGGUGAAAGUCCAGUAUGCGAAAAGCGAGUUAACGAGGCAGUAUCCAGAGUAGCACGAGGCACGUGGAAUCUCGUGUGAAUGUGUGGGGACCAUCCCAUAAGGCUAAAUACUACUUGAUGACCGAUAGUGAACGAGUACCGUGAGGGAAAGGUGAAAAGAACCCCGGGAGGGGAGUGAAAUAGAAUUUGAAACCCUAUGUUUACAAGCAGACAAAGCACGUUAAGGUGCGAUGUCGUACUUUUUGUAGAACGGUCCAGCGAGUUAUUGUAUAUGGCAAGGUUAAAUACUAAGUAAGGUAUGGAGCCGAAGCGAAAGCGAGUGUUAAUAGCGCGUUUAAGUCAUAUGUAAUAGACCCGAAACCGAGUGACCUAUCCAUGGUCAGGAUGAAGCUAGAGUAAAAUCUAGUGGAGGUCCGAACUGAUUGUCGUUAAAAAGGCACCGGAUGAACUGUGGAUAGCGGAGAAAUUCCAAUCGAACUCGGAGAUAGCUGGUUCUCCUCGAAAUAGCUUUAGGGCUAGCCUUGAGGUAAAGACGUAUGGGGGUAGAGCACUGAAUGAGCUAGGGGCCUAACCAGGUUACUGAACUCUAUCAAACUACGAAUACCAUAUUGUUAUACUCAGGAGUCAGACUGCGGGAGCUAAGUUCCGUGGUCAAAAGGGAAAGAGCCCAGAUCGUCAAUUAAGGUCCCAAAGAUAUAGCUAAGUGGAAAACGAUGUGAUUUUGCGUAAACAACCAGGAUGUUGGCUCAGAAGCAGCCACUCAUUCAAAGAGUGCGUAACAGCUCACUGGUCGAGUGAAAUUGCGCGGAAAAUUACCGGGGCUAAGCUAUACACCGAAAUUGCGGAUUCAAGGAUUUAUCCUUGAGUGGUAGAGGAGCAUUCUGUUGUAGGUUGAAGUAUGACCGUAAGGACAUGUGGACGAAGCAGAAGAGAGAAUGCUGGAAUAAGUAGCGAGAGCAAGGUGAGAAUCCUUGCCGUCGAAAGUCUAAGGUUUCCUGGGGAAGGUUCGUCCGCCCAGGGUUAGUCGGGACCUAAGGAGAGGCCGAGAGGCGUAUCUGAUGGACAGCAGGUUGAUAUUCCUGCACUAUAGAUAUACUUAAAAGAUGCAAGGGACGCAGAAGUGGAAGGAAUGCGAGGAAGAGGAAAAACUCGUAUCGAAAGAUAUAGUGAAAAUAAAGUAACGAAUUUCCAAGAAGCACGCUGACGAGAAAAGCUUGUAGAUAUUGUAUAUAAAUACCCGUACCGCAAACCGACACAGGUAGAUGAGGAGAGGAUCCUAAGACGAGCGGGAGAAGCAUUGUUAAGGAACUCGGCAAAUUGACCCCGUAACUUCGGAAUAAGGGGUGCCUAUGUAAAAGUAGGCCGCAGAGAAUAGGCCCAAGCAACUGUUUAACAAAAACACAGGUUUCUGCUAAAUCGAAAGAUGAAGUAUAGGAGCUGACGCCUGCCCAGUGCUGGAAGGUUAAGGGGAAGAGUUAAGACUUGAUCUGAAGCUUAGAACCAAAGCCCCAGUGAACGGCGGCCGUAACUAUAACGGUCCUAAGGUAGCGAAAUUCCUUGUCAGGUAAGUUCUGACCCGC